Haliotis rufescens (red abalone) is the source of this 10644-nucleotide RNA transcript. It is a transcript of the gene named FH1/FH2 domain-containing protein 3-like, with no coding region annotated. The transcript is spliced from 30 exons. NCBI's taxonomy places the organism in Eukaryota, Metazoa, Mollusca, Gastropoda, Lepetellida, Haliotidae. The record is from RefSeq and is a predicted model, not a curated record.
GCCCGUUGCCAAGGAGAACGGACCACAGCUUGUGAACUACCCAUCAGAUGAAAAACGAGGCGAAGACCUCGCUGCGAGUUUUAAAACGUCUUUACAGUUUUUAUUCCGUGAUAAGGACGUGUGUGAUUUGGGCAAACUGGUAGUUAUAUCAUCUGUAGGAGCAGAAGUUAUCGAAGAAAUACGAUAUUUCAAGGUUCCAUUUUGAGCGAGAGACGUUGGAGAUAUAUCCGGAUGACUCGAUGAUGCAUACGAGAGUUUACUCAUCUCACGAGAUCAGACGAGACUAGCGAGGGGAGCAGACGACAAUUGGCCACUUGGGAUACUGCAUGAAUGGUUGCUGCCGCCAGUGAUGGCGAGGAACUGACCACGAUGUGAAGACAGAAGGAUCACUCAGUAUUCUCACCAUGUAUCAGCGACGUAACUCUCUUUCUAGGGACCUGGGGUAUUAUAACCCGUCCUAUGACAGAGGGUACGGCAGCGGUCUGACCACCAGCCCCAAGACUUAUGGCGCGCUGUAUGAUAUGGGCACAAGUAAAGGUAGCGGUCGGAGCUACACGCCUCAAUCAUACGGCAACACUGGGUACGGAGGAACUUCCGGUUACAGAGGAGGAAAUGCCUACCAACCCCCAAACAGAAGCUACAGCUAUGAACCUCCCAAAUACAGCUCGCCAGUAUCUGUGACGGACAAAGUAAACAAGUUUUCGAACAUGGAACCCAAAUAUUCAUAUGGUGGUGACCGUUACCCGUCCGUAGAUCGCAGCACGAGCAGCAGGGAUCGGUACCCCUCACUUGAUCGUCACUCCACUAGAAGUGGCUAUUUGUCGGACUAUGGCGGCAGCAACCCUCGUUCCUACGGGUCCUGGGACAGAGCUUCAACACGCUCUAGUAAGAGUUACGGCGCCGGUAGCCGGGAGACGUCUCCCGUCAGUACAAAGUCGUCCAGGUAUGACUAUAGCAGCAGUGCUUCUCCCUACUCUACGUAUUCGUACAAGAGUGGGUCGGACGCGUCGCCUGUGACACGGCGGUAUGAGCGACAGUCUUCCCGAGGCAACGACACUCAAAGUCGUCCUUCCGCAGACACCAAACCGACAAGCAAGCAGGCCAGCAAACCCUCGAAACAGUCGGCGUAUGUGCCCAAGAGGCGGCCUAGAGAGUCCUCAGUGUCAGAUUCGGAUGACAGUGCUCCCGAGGCUGAGAAGGCCAACCAGUCAGUCAGAUACAUGAUAUGCAGGGGUACUUCGCCAAUGCCAGAAGGGGAAAUACAUAAAAAGGAAGCCAAGGAGCCCAAAAAGGAUGCUCCUUCUCGAACCAAGAGGAUCAAAUGUCCUGUGAGGGAGACUCGAAGAGGCAGACAGAGCAAGACGGACCACCCCAACACAGUCGACUGUGCAACACAGACAAAUAUGGACCAGCAGAACACCAAGAGGUCCCGCGGAUUAGGUGGAGGAGGAGGAGGAUACAGAAGUAGCGUUGGCAGCGGCGGGGGAGGUGGGGGAUCAGGAUUGGGUCCAGGAGAAACCUUCUAUAAAUAUCGCGAAAAGUUUCUUCCAGGGACAAGUUACACCCCAAAAAAAUCAACGUAUGAUCCGACUCCAAAGAAGUCCUAUUAUAGGGAUGAGGUUCAAGAUCCACCAUCUGAGAAAUCUUGGCGUCAAGCUGUUUAUGGUGAAGUUCCACGAACAUCCAGGAGGGAAGAACCCGAUGCUGAAUCUAUCGGGGUGGAAGAUGAAGAUGACAGAAGCAGCAGAAAGGGCAGGAGGCGUGAACCACGAACAAGCACUCCAAAUACAGAUUAUAACAGUGCUGCUGAUGAUCGUCAUUCCCGACACAAGCCUCCUAGUAGAUCGUCCUCGAGAGAGGACAUACUGGAUGACAAACCAAGGAGGAAGAGGCAUUCAAGCAAGGAACUUCUUGACUGCGAUCAGCCUCCUCUAACUCCAGAGAACCUGUCCCUAAGGGAAAGUAUUGAGAAGGUUCAUCAGUGGAAGCAGAAUCUGCCUUCGCCAUCGAGUGCAUACUACACAGAACCUGAUGGUGCUCCUAAUGAUAUGCGAAGACACCCUGGGGUGGGCGCUGAGAGUAAUUUCAACAGGAACGACAGACAAUAUGGCCACCAGGACUCGAUGAGAGCCAUGAUUGACGAUUCUGAGGUUCCCUACUCGAGAGAUGGUUCUCCAUCUCGUCAGAAACGAAGACAAAGGAAGAACCUCUCCAGGGGAGGAUCUAACGACAGUAUCCUUGACGAUGAUGAAUACCAAGGACACAUGCCUAACAAGGACUUCAGAAAGUCGAAUCUAAACAAGUCGAGUCUGCAGAAGCCUGAUAAGUACCGCGACAAUGAAGUAUUUGAAGGAGAAGACAGACGAGGCCAUAUCCGCAAUGACAACUACGGAUUGCAGAGGAGAUCUGGUAGUUCUUCAGAAACUACUGAAAACAGACUGAAGAGAGACAGUUCAAAGGAGAGCAUCCUUGACGACAGACGAAAGUCUAGAAGGGAGAAGUGGGAGACUGACGGCAGUCAUGCACACGGCCAUGCAAGUGAUAGUGCGGGAUCUCAGUUUGGAUUCAACAGAGAGGAAUCUCCGAACAGAGGAAUCUUCGGCCGGUCCUCCAAGUCUAACAGAUCAAGCAGACAAAGCUCACGCGAGGAUAUGUUGGAGGACAGAGGUAGACACGCUCAACUUGCUCGACAACAAUCGGUGGAGCAAUACUUGUCUCCUUAUGACAGAAUGAGACCAAACCAUCUUGCCGUGUCUAAUGAAAGCCUGUCCAAGAUGAGCAGUGGUUCGGGCUUUGAUGACCCCAAUUUGCAGCGAAUGUCAAAUUCUGUGUCUCAACAUUCGAUCGCCUCUAUGACGAGUCAGGGAACUCUCCCUGACAUUGUGCCACACAGCCCUGAGUCGGAAAUGGGCAAAUCGAAGUCUUCUCCGGAUGGUCAGAAGAAACCUUACAAGGGGGCCCGAUCUGGCUACAUCAGCGCGGUACAAGACAUUGAUAGUCUCCUGGACGACGACGAGAGGCGACGACAGGCGGACAUCAUGGAUUCUCCAGUACCAAGAACAUCACACCACCCUCUGCAACCUUCUCCACUCUCGCCAACAGGAUACGAGGAUGAUCCGUUCACGAAGCGUAGGCCAAACAGCUACUCCUUUGAAGCUCAGCAAGAUGGUCGAUCCUCUGGAUCCAAGAUGCGGGCGUCAAAGUCUCAUGAUGACAAGCUCAUCGACAUCGAAGAUGAACGCAUUCAGGCUGAACGGUCUCCCCAACAGGCAGCACCCCCUAAAACCCGUGGUCCUCCUUCAGCAACAGCUAAGCAAAUGGCGCAGAUCUUGACUCAGAAGAAGGGCCUGGUAGCCAUAGCAGACUUCCUGAGUCUCUGUGAGAAGCCACCGGCACCCCGCAUCAUCAAGAUUCCGGGAGCAUCUGACGAAGAUGACAGAAACUUCAAAGGAUACAACUCCGCCUCAGACAUGUUGGAACACCUCGGAGUUGACGUUAAGAAGCUUGAAGACUGUGCGCUGCAGAUCUACCGCUACCACAGCGGGUCCCAGGGAGAGUACGGAACCUAUCUGGAUACUGAAUCCACUCUUGAUGAACAGGCUGAGGAGCUAGAUGGAUUCCAAGACCAGCGGAAGAACACGCUGAUUCUACGUACUCAGCUGACAGUCAGGGUACAUGCUAUUAUAGAAAAAUUGCUGACAUCCUCUGGGAGAGAAUUACGGAGAGCUUUAUUUUCACUGAAGCAAAUCUUUCAGGAUGAUAAGGAUCUUGUCCAUGAGUUUGUCAACAACGAUGGACUUGACUGCCUUAUCAAAGUGGGCUCGGAGGCGGACCAGAACUAUCAAAACUAUAUACUUAGGGCCCUGGGACAGGUGAUGCUGUACGUGGAUGGUAUGGAAGGGGUGAUCCGACACAAUGCCACAGUGCAGUGGCUGUAUGGCUUGCUUGCAUCAAAGGGCCGCCUCGUAGUGAAGACGGCACUUAAGCUGAUCCUGGUUUUCGUGGAGUACACAGAGAGUAAUACGCAACAGCUCAUCAAGGCUAUCAAAAGUGUUGACUCUCGCAGAGGAUCCCGACCUUGGUCCAACCUGAUGAACAUUUUGGAUGAAAAGGACGGCACUGACACAGAGCUCCUGAUCUACGCCAUGACACUCAUCAACAAGGUGAUCAAUGCACUGCCGGACCAGGACUCGUUCUAUGAUGUGACGGACGCACUGGAGGAACAAGGCAUGGAGCGGGUCACACAGAGGCACAUAAACCGCAAGGGCUCCGACCUCGAUCUCAUCACACAGUUCCAGACAUAUGAGGCUGCCCUGAAGAGUGAAGAUGGGGAGGAUAAAGCUGAUAUUCCUCAGCUGGAAAAUCUCAGACGUCAGCCUCGAACCACGAGUAAGGAUGAUGGGCGUAAGAGUCGGCGCAGUGUUGGCAUGGCCAAGAUGACAAAGUCAGUCAGCAUGUCAGUACUGCCUCAGAAAUCCCAGGAUGCAGAAAAACUAACUCCAGCAGAAAUGUACAGGAAAAAGAAGCAGCUUGACCAGUUCCGUCCUCCGACAGAAGACAAUGAUCCCUUCCCCAUGCGCAGUCGCAAGUCCUUCCCUCAAGACCAGCAUAAUGGAAACCAGUCCUCAGAAAGUCGACAGGAACGAAAAGAAAGACGGCGGGAACGUCAGCUGACAUUACGAAAGGAACAAGAAUUGAAAAACAUUGAUCUCCCCGAGGCUGAUCGCAUAUCAGUGGCCAGUAUAUCAUCCACCAGCACCACCAGUAGCUCUAGCUCCUUCCCCCCAGAAUCUGCCCACGAUCAUUUGCCAGAUCCGGAUCCUGCCUCCUUUAGUUCUUUCAGUGAUAUUGACUCAUUAGAUGACCAAAGGGGUUCCAAAGGCUCGAGAUUGAACGAGUCUGGCUAUCAGAGCUUCAACAGUCAGGGAGACAACUAUGAACCAAAUAACUUGGAUGCUAAGAACAAUGCAGUCAAUCAAGGUCAGAUGCGCAAUGCUCCUGAAGGUGAGUCAGAGGCACUGUCAAGCAACAAACGAUGGCAGAUGUACAAACAGAAGCAUGGUUUGGAAGAGGAUGAUAUGCAAGGUCCGUAUAUUCAGGGAGGGAGUGUUUCUCAAAGGAAGGAGACUUUCCAUGAAGGUUCUAAUGCCAAUGUGCCUCCAAAGAAGCAUGUUUUGGACAGGUUACCUGAUGGCAAUGUACAGAGUGCUGUUAGUAGGUUUGGUCCUCAGGAUGAGUCCAAGCUGCCCAUUGAGAUGGGCAGACCUCAAGGUGAUUCUAGUGGUUUGAUUGGGCGUGCUAAGGAUGGCUUGCAUACUAAACCUGCUGCACCUAAACCGGUGCCAGAGCCUGAAGUGAAGAAGACAGAGAGUGACAUGCAGUGGGAGAGGAUUCAGAGGAGACUGAAGCGACCUCUGAAAAUUAAAGACAUGGACUUCACAGAUCUCAGGGAUGAGGAUGACGAUGAUGUGUUUGCACCUCCUAAGAUGGCAUUUGACAUGAAUGGUGAUAUGCCUCCUCCUCCUCCAAUGGGUUUCCCUCCCCCACCACCACCCCUCGGGGGCUUCCCACCCCCACCCCCACCACCAAUGAUGGGAGGCAUGCCCCCACCCCCACCCAUGCCUCCAGGAAUGCCUCCACCCCCACCCCCUCCCAGUAUGGGUGGUCCUCCCCCAGAGGACUCUAAUUUGCCACCUCCCCUGGGAGCCAACUUGCCAAAGAACAAGAAGACUAUCCGUCUCCAUUGGAGACCUCUCCAGACCCAGCCCGCUACUCCAAAGGAGAAGGAUGAGACAGUGUGGAAGCAGCUUGUCACAGUCAAACUUGAUCCUGAGAAGUUGGAGCACCUGUUUGAAACCAGGUCCAGUGAGGUUAAGACUAAGGAAGUGAAACAAGAAACUGGGUCCAGGAAGGAGAUUGUUGUCUUGGAUCCAAAGCGAUCCAACGCCAUCAACAUUGGUCUGACAGUCCUGCCACCUCCAAGAACCAUCAAGGCAGCCAUCUUGAAAAUGGAUGUGUCAAUCAUGAAUAAAGAGGGCAUUGAAAAGAUCCUGUCGACGAUGAUCCCGACGGAUGAGGAGAAGGGGAAGAUCCUUGAGGCGCAGAUGGCGAACCCUGACAUCCCCCUGGGGACAGCCGAGCAGUUCCUCCUGACCCUCUCCUCCAUCUCCGAGCUCAUCCCCAGACUCAAGCUCUGGCUCUUCAAGCUGGACUUUGAGAACAUGGAACAGGAAGUGUCUGAGCCCCUCAUGGACCUGAAGAAAGGCAUUGAUACACUGACACAAAACAAGACGUUUAGAUGUAUCCUGUCUACGAUCCUCGCGAUCGGUAACUUCCUAAAUGGUGCUCAGGCCCGAGCUUUCUCGGUAGAUUUCUUGUCUCGGAUCCCUGAGGUGAAGGACACAGUGCACAAACACUCUCUUCUUCAUCACCUGUGUAAUGUCAUCCUGGACCAGUUCCCUGACACCACUGAUCUCUACUCCGAACUUGGACCUCUCACACGGUGCUCUCGGAUUGACUGGGAUGAGCUCACCAACAAGUUGAACAAGUUGGAAUGUGACUGCAAGUCCUCUUGGGAUUACCUCCGAGCAAUCAUCAAACACGACGGCACUUCCUCAGACAUGAAGGGAAAGAUGCUGGUGUUCCUGGGUGAUGCUGCGGAGAGGAUCAUGUUGCUGCAGGUCAUCUUCAAGAGGGUCAUCAACAGGUACCACAAGUUUCUGUUGUUCAUGGGGCUACCAGUACACAUGGCCAAGGACCAGAGGAUCAACCACUUCUGUAAGAUCAUCAGUGAGUUUGCACUGGAGUACCGCACGACUCGCGACAAAGUCAUCCAGCAGCGUGAGAAGAAGGCCAACCAGAGAGAGAGGAAGAAGACACGGGGCAAGAUGAUCGUGGAGACGGACAGAUUCGCCAAGUCUAAGGAUGGUCAUCAAGAGGAUGAGCUGCAGAAGCUACUGAAGAAUGGCUAUGCUAGUGCUGAUGAACGUGGGCUGCCUGGACAGAAAAUCAGGAAGCGGAUAGAUGCAAGAAGUAUGGGAUCUCGGGGCUGUCUGACGACCGAUUCCGAGAUGUACGAUACGGGAGAUGAUGAGAUUCUGGAGGCAUGUGUCCGCACAGCCACAGCACCCUCUACACGUGUGCCCAAAGAAAGGCGGAGGUCACGCAGUCAAAGGAAAUCAUAACCUUCCGAGCAUCGUCUGCUGACAGAAAACCUAAGGAAAAGCCUUUUGGGAUAGUGAUUACUAGUACGUCGGACAUUGAGAGGUGGCCUUGACCUUAAUGAGUUGCAGGCCGUGAUUGGAGAAUCUGACCAAGUUUGAUCAUCGCUCACGUCUAAUGUCACCUUAGUCUUUCAUAGUCAACUACCGCCCAUUUUGUCCCUCGUCGCAUAGCUAUCGACCUUCACUCAACGUCCACAUGUCGCCAGGCCGGCUGCUGGCCAUGGUUCAAGGACUAGAAGCAGUGUGGAACAAGUACUGCACACACAAAGAGGAAUUUUCUAUGCAACAAUGAAAACAAAUAUAUAUGCUAGAAUCUGUCUCAAGAACUGCUAGAAUAUUCAGUUAAAAUUUUCACAUGCAUUGUUAAUGUGAACAGCAUUCAAUAUAUUUGGUAUGCAAGUUGAGAGGUUGAACUAACAUUACCUGAAGAUAUUUGAAUUGCAAGCUCCGUAAUAAUAGCUGUCAAUGAUAUUCAUCAUCAUGAAUUAUUUUAUUAAAUAAUUUCAGAAUAUUGAAAUCAAACAUUUAUUGUAUUAAGAUAAUAACCAGUUAAUAAUGACCCUGCACUGAAAAAUGUGAGUGGACGAGACAUUUCAAUAUGAAUGCUGUUUGUGCAAAAUAGAAGCUUAGUAUUACGAAUUUAUGUUGGCAGUGAUAAUGUCAACAUGGACAAGACGGACUGUAUUAAGUCAACAACAGGAUGGUGAGCGUACACAUCCGCCAGUAAUCUGUGAUAAGACUCUAGCUUGCUGAAUUGAUUACAUCAUGUUGGAUUUAAUUUGCCGACAUCAUAUUGCUACCCCUUUUAUUUUUAUAUGUGUCGAUUUUGUAAGACUAUUUGGGGGGUCUCUUGAUAAUGGACCAAGUAGGAUAGGUGCUAAAAAAGUACAAAAGAUCAAAUUUCAAUAUUUCAAAUGGAAUAAAGUGCCCUAAACAGUGGUAUGUGCAAUAUGCUAUUUGAUAUAGUCAAUAGUGAUGUGUUCAGAUACUGACAAUGUAUGACACAUUUGUCUUCAGUGUUGUUGUCAAAGGUUUUGUUACCAUGAUUUCAAGUAGCUUAGCAGUUUGAUCUUUUUUGAUGUUAUUUCAUUGUAAAUAGAAUGUUAACGAAUGCAAUUGUACAGGUGUACAGAUGAAAUCAUUUGCAUUUACAUCAUUAAAAUAUUUGUUAUUUUUCUAAGUUACCUGCUUUAUAAAUGUGAAUUUAUUUAUUUAUUACUGACAUCAAGACAAAGUGUCCCUCAGAGCUCUCAGUAAUAAUCCGUUACAUUGUUAGUUAUAUCAACUGCAUGCAACAGCACAUGCCUCCAUUAUCAAGCAACAGAUGAAAAUUACUUGCAACAUCCAAUGCAAAAAUUGCCUCUAUAAUUUGGCAAUGACAAAAAUCAACACAUGGUAUAUGUGUGUAUUGCAAUGAUGCACAAACAAUAUCUAUGUUCAUUUAAGCGUAAAAUUUGUGGAAAAGAAUCAAAAUAUUGUCGAGAGAAAACAUUCCCCAAAAUGCAAUAUACUGCAUGGGGACAUGUUAUAUCUGAGUUAUAUCCUGGGUUAUUGCAUGACCGUCAUGUGACAUUGUGUUGAAGAUCUUAUUUAAACAUUAUUGUCAGCUCUGAGAAGGAUAUGUGUUACGUUACAGUCAAUAUAUUGUGAAUCUGAAUAAGAUGCAUCAGGAUUAAUGAGCAAUCUUGUCUGAAAGGAUGCUUAGACUUGUAAACUGUGAGGCCAAAGUUAUUAAUGCACUAGUCAGUCAAAUAUUAGUAAGUCACUAUGACCAUAGUCUAAAAUGUUGGACAUAUGCUGACAUUUAGGCAUGACUCCUAAGACAGCUUUAUAUGCACAGUAUAUAUAUUCUUAAGAUAUCAGGCCUGCAUCAGCACAUAUACAAGUACCGGGGUAGAUAUUUGAUUUGAGUUGUCUCCCUUGAGACAAUUACACAAUGUCAGGUCAUGCCAAAUCACUGACAUUCUAUAAAUGAUGCUUCAUCAUUUAUAAUUACUUUCUGACUAUAUCAAACUAAAAAUCGGCAUGUGGUUCGCUAGUCAUCUUUUGUGGAGCUCCAGUGUAAUGGCUUCCACAAAGGGAGAUUGUGUACAUAUAGUUUUCUAACAUGUGAAAGUAUUACAGUUGCCUGAUUUGGUAUGUUUUUGGAAACUAUAUUUUAGAUUAUAUAUAGUGCCUUCAAAUAUGGAACCGUAAAUUUGGCCUGAAAUAUUGGUGCUGAUGGAUACUCCAAUGCAAUACGGUUUAUAUUGCAUACCCUCAGCAUGCUUGUAUUCACCACCUUGCUGUAACAUAUAGAUGAUGUUCUUAUGCACAGUGUAGCAGUAGUGUGCCUGAAUAAUAAUGUCACAGAAGCUCAAGCUAAAUGGCCAGUGAUGAUGUUGCCAUAUUGACUAGUGUAUGCACGGACCUCGGUUUAUGAGAUAACAUGCAGAGCUGGCUACUGCUGAAUGUGUAGCCACAGAUUGGUAUCUGGUGUGGUCUGCUGCAAGUGUGGUCACAAUUUGGGGCUGGAUUUAUCUGCUGCAAGAGCAUCCACAGUUUGGUAUCUGAUGUGGUCUGCUGCGAUUGUAGCCACAGUUUGGCGACUGGAGUGGUCUGCUGCGAUUGAAGCCACAGUUUGGUAUCUGGAGUGGUCUGCUACGAUUGUAGCCACAGUUUGGUGUCUGGAGUGGUCUGCUGCUGAAUAUGUGAUGUGGUGCGGAAUAAAGCAUUGAUCUCAACCAAUCACUACCAGCCUACCGGAGGGUGUAUGCUUUGUUAUAUUUAUUGUUGUGAGUGCAUCCAUGUUACAGUUGAGAUUGUAUAACCUAACCAGUUGUGAUAACAAGCAAUAAUAACAGAAGUUGAUAGACAGAAAGGUUCACAAUAUAUGACAAUAUCAAAAUAUAGAAUGUGCUCAUGUUACAAUAGCUCAAGGAAACAUCCCUUUCAGUAAAAUUAACAAAAAUUUCAAUAUCUGUAUGAUGAAAUAUUUGUUUAAUUUUGAACUCAAAAGUAAUGCCACUAUUAUAAUGUUACGUUGCUGAUUAUACAUGUUAUGAGUAGUAGUCAUUUAUUCCCAUAACUCGUCAUCACAUUGGUAAAGACUGUUCAAAUAGCCAGCCAUUUGCAAUAUGGUUUCCCAGAAUCUGGAAAUCUUAAUGUUAUGAUUUACCCUCUGUGUGAUAUUAUUGGUUACUAAACUCUGUGACAAUGUCAUCAUCAAUACAUGUUAAAUGAUUGUUAUAAGUGAUAUUCUUCCUAAAUAAGAAUCUUGGAUCAUUUUGCAAAUGGCCGCCUCCCUUCAUGACAUCCUGGUCUGAGGAAAUGAUGACUGUAAUUAUUUAUUGUAGCAUCCGACUGUAAAUUUUGACAUUUUUGCCAUAUUUUGGAUAUGCAAAUUUUAACCAGAUUUAUAGAAUAAAGUUUCUUAAAAUGA